Molecule: long non-coding RNA, 313 nt
Organism: Saccostrea cuccullata (small rock oyster)
Lineage: Eukaryota; Metazoa; Mollusca; Bivalvia; Ostreida; Ostreidae
Exons: 3
Source: RefSeq, a predicted model, not a curated record
AAAAUGAAACCACAUGUGAUGCUAUCAAUGGCAGAUGUCCUAGUGGAUGUUCUGAAAAGUGGAUAGGACAAUUUUGUAACAUAUCUGCUGUUAUGGACUGUCUGGAAAUUUUGAAAAAGGGAAACAAAAGAACGGGUAUUUACCAGAUCCAUCCGUGGAACAACUCUACAUAUAAAGAAGUACUGUGUGAUAUGGUCACAAUGGGAGGAGGGUGGACGGUUUUUCAAAAGAGGAUUGAUGGAUCUGUGUCUUUUUCAAGGAACUGGACAGAAUAUCAGCAAGGGUUUGGGAACGUGUCUACUGAAUAUUGGUU